This 608-nucleotide ribosomal RNA is filed under the name Trichoderma sp. RA304. RNAcentral describes it as "LSU rRNA". It matches the Rfam family "Eukaryotic large subunit ribosomal RNA", at positions 37 to 668 of the family's 3401-position model. Lineage: Eukaryota; Fungi; Ascomycota; Sordariomycetes; Hypocreales; Hypocreaceae. The record is from RNAcentral.
UGCAUAUCAAUAAGCGGAGGAAAAGAAACCAACAGGGAUUGCCCCAGUAACGGCGAGUGAAGCGGCAACAGCUCAAAUUUGAAAUCUGGCCCCUAGGGUCCGAGUUGUAAUUUGUAGAGGAUGCUUUUGGUGAGGUGCCGCCCGAGUUCCCUGGAACGGGACGCCGCAGAGGGUGAGAGCCCCGUCUGGCUGGCCACCGAGCCUCUGUAAAGCUCCUUCGACGAGUCGAGUAGUUUGGGAAUGCUGCUCAAAAUGGGAGGUAUAUGUCUUCUAAAGCUAAAUAUUGGCCAGAGACCGAUAGCGCACAAGUAGAGUGAUCGAAAGAUGAAAAGCACCUUGAAAAGAGGGUUAAACAGUACGUGAAAUUGUUGAAAGGGAAGCGCUUGUGACCAGACUUGGGCGCGGCGGAUCAUCCGGGGUUCUCCCCGGUGCACUUCGCCGUGUUCAGGCCAGCAUCAGUUCGGCGCGGGGGAAAAAGGCUUCGGGAACGUGGCUCCUCCGGGAGUGUUAUAGCCCGUUGCAUAAUACCCUGCGCUGGACUGAGGACCGCGCAUCUGCAAGGAUGCUGGCGUAAUGGUCACCAGCGACCCGUCUUGAACCACGGACCA